GCGGGUGUAGCUCAAUGGUAGAGCGUUGGCUUCCCAAGCCAAUUACGAGGGUUCGAUUCCCUUCACCCGCU
This 71-nucleotide transfer RNA is filed under the name Planctomycetaceae bacterium. Its description in RNAcentral is "tRNA-Gly". It matches the Rfam family "tRNA". Rfam says of the family: Transfer RNA (tRNA) molecules are approximately 80 nucleotides in length. Their secondary structure includes four short double-helical elements and three loops (D, anti-codon, and T loops). RNAcentral also lists the same sequence under 2 other names. The record is from RNAcentral. Lineage: Bacteria; Pseudomonadati; Planctomycetota; Planctomycetia; Planctomycetales; Planctomycetaceae.